GAAAGGCCAAUCAAACCGGGAGAUAGCUGGUUCUCCCCGAAAGCUAUUUAGGUAGCGCCUCGUGAACUCAUCUUCGGGGGUAGAGCACUGUUUCGGCUAGGGGGUCAUCCCGACUUACCAACCCGAUGCAAACUACGAAUACCGAAGAAUGUUAUCACGGGAGACACACGGCGGGUGCUAACGUCCGUCGUGAAGAGGGAAACAACCCAGACCGCCAGCUAAGGUCCCAAAGUCAUGGUUAAGUGGGAAACGAUGUGGGAAGGCACAGACAGCCAGGAUGUUGGCUUAGAAGCAGCCAUCAUUUAAAGAAAGCGUAAUAGCUCACUGGUCGAGUCGGCCUGCGCGGAAGAUGUAACGGGGCUAAACCAUGCACCGAAGCUGCGGCAGCGACACUAUGUGUUGUUGGGUAGGGGAGCGUUCUGUAAGCCUGCGAAGGUGUGCUGUGAGGCAUGCUGGAGGUAUCAGAAGUGCGAAUGCUGACAUAAGUAACGAUAAAGCGGGUGAAAAGCCCGCUCGCCGGAAGACCAAGGGUUCCUGUCCAACGUUAAUCGGGGCAGGGUGAGUCGACCCCUAAGGCGAGGCCGAAAGGCGUAGUCGAUGGGAAACAGGUUAAUAUUCCUGUACUUGGUGUUACUGCGAAGGGGGGACGGAGAAGGCUAUGUUAGCCGGGCGACGGUUGUCCCGGUUUAAGCAUGUAGGCUGAUUGUCCAGGCAAAUCCGGAUAAUCAAGGCUGAGGUGUGAUGACGAGGCACUACGGUGCUGAAGUAACAAAUGCCCUGCUUCCAGGAAAAGCCUCUAAGCAUCAGGUAACAUUAAAUCGUACCCCAAACCGACACAGGUGGUCAGGUAGAGAAUACCAAGGCGCUUGAGAGAACUCGGGUGAAGGAACUAGGCAAAAUGGUGCCGUAACUUCGGGAGAAGGCACGCUGGUGUGUAGGUGAAGUCCCUGCGGAUGGAGCUGAGACCAGUCGAAGAUACCAGCUGGCUGCAACUGUUUAUUAAAAACACAGCACUGUGCAAACACGAAAGUGGACGUAUACGGUGUGACGCCUGCCCGGUGCCGGAAGGUUAAUUGAUGGGGUUAUCCGUAAGGAGAAGCUCUUGAUCGAAGCCCCGGUAAACGGCGGCCGUAACUAUAACGGUCCUAAGGUAGCGAAAUUCCUUGUCGGGUAAGUUCCGACCUGCACGAAUGGCGUAAUGAUGGCCAGGCUGUCUCCACCCGAGACUCAGUGAAAUUGAACUCGCUGUGAAGAUGCAGUGUACCCGCGGCAAGACGGAAAGACCCCGUGAACCUUUACUAUAGCUUGACACUGAACAUUGAGCCUUGAUGUGUAGGAUAGGUGGGAGGCUUUGAAGCGUGGACGCCAGUCUGCGUGGAGCCAACCUUGAAAUACCACCCUUUAAUGUUUGAUGUUCUAACGUUGGCCCCUGACCGGGGUUGCGGACAGUGUCUGGUGGGUAGUUUGACUGGGGCGGUCUCCUCCCAAAGCGUAACGGAGGAGCACGAAGGUUAGCUAAUCCUGGUCGGACAUCAGGAGGUUAGUGCAAUGGCAUAAGCUAGCUUGACUGCGAGCGUGACGGCGCGAGCAGGUGCGAAAGCAGGUCAUAGUGAUCCGGUGGUUCUGAAUGGAAGGGCCAUCGCUCAACGGAUAAAAGGUACUCCGGGGAUAACAGGCUGAUACCGCCCAAGAGUUCAUAUCGACGGCGGUGUUUGGCACCUCGAUGUCGGCUCAUCACAUCCUGGGGCUGAAGUAGGUCCCAAGGGUAUGGCUGUUCGCCAUUUAAAGUGGUACGCGAGCUGGGUUUAGAACGUCGUGAGACAGUUCGGUCCCUAUCUGCCGUGGGCGCUGGAGAAUUGAGGGGGGCUGCUCCUAGUACGAGAGGACCGGAGUGGACGCAUCACUGGUGUUCGGGUUGUCAUGCCAAUGGCACUGCCCGGUAGCUAAAUGCGGAAGAGAUAAGUGCUGAAAGCAUCUAAGCACGAAACUUGCCCCGAGAUGAGUUCUCCCUGAGACUUUAAGUCUCCUGAAGGAACGUUGAAGACGACGACGUUGAUAGGCCGGGUGUGUAAGCGCAGCGAUGCGUUGAGCUAACCGGUACUAAUGAACCGUGAGGCUUAACCUU
This 2125-nucleotide ribosomal RNA is filed under the name Klebsiella pneumoniae. RNAcentral's name for it is "bacterial LSU rRNA". It matches the Rfam family "Bacterial large subunit ribosomal RNA", at positions 823 to 2925 of the family's 2925-position model. Lineage: Bacteria; Pseudomonadati; Pseudomonadota; Gammaproteobacteria; Enterobacterales; Enterobacteriaceae. RNAcentral also lists the same sequence under 1 other name. The record is from RNAcentral.